AUGAACGCUAGCGGCGGGCCUAACACAUGCAAGUCGAGGGGUAAGGCUCCUUCGGGAGUACACGACCGGCAAACGGGUGAGUAACACGUUUGUAACCUGCCUCUAACUGGGGGAUAGCCCGAAGAAAUUCGGAUUAAUACCCCAUAACAUUAUUAAAUCGCAUGAUUUAAUAAUUAAAGCUCCGGCGGUUAGAGAUGGGCAUGCGUGCCAUUAGCUAGUUGGUAGGGUAACGGCCUACCAAGGCUACGAUGGCUAGGGGGUCUGAGAGGAUGAUCCCCCACACUGGUACUGAGACACGGACCAGACUCCUACGGGAGGCAGCAGUGAGGAAUAUUGGGCAAUGGGCGCAAGCCUGACCCAGCCACGCCGCGUGCAGGAUGACGGCCCUACGGGUUGUAAACUGCUUUUUUACGGGAAGAAACUUCCGAUCGUGAUCGGGACUGACUGUACCGUACGAAUAAGCAUCGGCUAACUCCGUGCCAGCAGCCGCGGUAAUACGGAGGAUGCAAGCGUUAUCCGGAUUUAUUGGGUUUAAAGGGUGCGUAGGCGGGGUGGUAAGUCAGUGGUGAAAUCUUGCGGCUUAACCGUAAAAUUGCCAUUGAUACUGCCAUCCUUGAGUAUAGUUGAGGUGGGCGGAAUGUAUAAUGUAGCGGUGAAAUGCUUAGAUAUUAUACAGAACACCGAUUGCGUAGGCAGCUCACUAAGCUAUAACUGACGCUGAGGCACGAAAGCGUGGGGAGCGAACAGGAUUAGAUACCCUGGUAGUCCACGCUGUAAACGAUGAUCACUCGUUGUUGGCGAUAAAUUGUCAGCGACUGAGCGAAAGCAUUAAGUGAUCCACCUGGGGAGUACGGUCGCAAGAUUGAAACUCAAAGGAAUUGACGGGGGCCCGCACAAGCGGUGGAACAUGUGGUUUAAUUCGAUGAUACGCGAGGAACCUUACCUGGGCUUGAAAGAGAGACGACAGACCCCGAAAGGGGUUCUUCUUCGGACGUCUUUCUAGGUGCUGCAUGGUUGUCGUCAGCUCGUGCCGUGAGGUGUCGGGUUAAGUCCCAUAACGAGCGCAACCCCUAUCGUUAGUUGCCAGCGGAUAAUGCCGGGGACUCUAGCGAAACUGCCGGUGUAACCGAGAGAAAGGUGGGGAUGACGUCAAAUCAGCACGGCCCUUAUGUCCAGGGCUACACACGUGUUACAAUGGUCGGCACAAAGGGCAGCUACUGGGUGACCAGAUGCUAAUCUCUAAAACCGAUCGUAGUUCGGAUCGAAGUCUGCAACUCGACUUCGUGAAGCUGGAAUCGCUAGUAAUCGCGCAUCAGCAACGGCGCGGUGAUACGUUCCCGGGCAUUGUACACACCGCCCGUCAAGCCAUGGAAGCCGGAGGUGCAUGAAGUCCGU
RNAcentral lists this ribosomal RNA (1395 nucleotides) under uncultured organism. RNAcentral's name for it is "16S ribosomal RNA". It matches the Rfam family "Bacterial small subunit ribosomal RNA". The record is from RNAcentral.